This 451-nucleotide ribosomal RNA is filed under the name uncultured Gordonia sp. RNAcentral describes it as "bacterial SSU rRNA". It matches the Rfam family "Bacterial small subunit ribosomal RNA", at positions 333 to 798 of the family's 1533-position model. The record is from RNAcentral. Lineage: Bacteria; Bacillati; Actinomycetota; Actinomycetes; Mycobacteriales; Gordoniaceae.
GAACCUACGGGGGGCAGCAGUGGGGAAUAUUGCACAAUGGGCGCAAGCCUGAUGCAGCGACGCCGCGUGAGGGAUGACGGCCUUCGGGUUGUAAACCUCUUUCGCUAGGGACGAAGCGUAAGUGACGGUACCUGGAGAAGAAGCACCGGCCAACUACGUGCCAGCAGCCGCGGUAAUACGUAGGGUGCGAGCGUUGUCCGGAAUUACUGGGCGUAAAGAGCUCGUAGGCGGUUUGUCGCGUCGUCUGUGAAAUUCUGCAACUCAAUUGCAGGCGUGCAGGCGAUACGGGCAGACUUGAGUACUACAGGGGAGACUGGAAUUCCUGGUGUAGCGGUGAAAUGCGCAGAUAUCAGGAGGAACACCGGUGGCGAAGGCGGGUCUCUGGGUAGUAACUGACGCUGAGGAGCGAAAGCGUGGGGAGCGAACAGGAUUAGAUACCCCAGUAGUCAUC